AGAGAAUUCCUUGAACCUGGGAGGUGGAGGUUGCAGUGAGCCAAGAUUGUGCCAUUGCACUCCAGCCCUCCAGCCUGGGUGACAGAG
This 87-nucleotide small nuclear RNA is filed under the name Homo sapiens (human). RNAcentral's name for it is "partial ncRNA". Lineage: Eukaryota; Metazoa; Chordata; Mammalia; Primates; Hominidae. The record is from RNAcentral.